Molecule: unclassified non-coding RNA, 147 nt
Organism: Macaca fascicularis (crab-eating macaque)
Lineage: Eukaryota; Metazoa; Chordata; Mammalia; Primates; Cercopithecidae
Rfam family: Metazoan signal recognition particle RNA
About the family: The signal recognition particle (SRP) is a universally conserved ribonucleoprotein. It is involved in the co-translational targeting of proteins to membranes.
Source: Ensembl
GCUGGGCGUGGUGACGGGCGCCUGUAAUCCCAGCUACUUGGGAGGCUGAGGCAGGAGAAUCACUUGAACCCGGGGGCAGAGGUUGCAGUGAGCCAAGAUCGUACCACUGCACUCCAGCCUGGGUGACAGAGUGAGACUCCGUCUCAA